AUUUUGCAUUCUGAUUUUAGAAAUGUAACAUACGAUACAAUAAUUUUUUUUAUGAAAACGUAUUUGCAGAGCAAAUGUUACCCCUUUUAUGAAAAUCUCGUACUGUACAGAGAAUGAAAAUAUAAACAUUUCUUUUGCAGAAGUCAUUGGUUGGUCUGAAAUUUGACAAACGUGUCAAGAUGUAACAUUCGUGAUGUAACAUUCGUUACCGAGAAAUUAAUUAAAAGGAAUGAUAUCACAAUUUCCCGCGUAUUUUUGCUCUCUGUCUGCAUGAUGUGGUAUACGACAUGAAUGUCUACUAUGAACAUUUGAGUUUGAAAGUCAAUACGUGUUAAACUUUGAGAAUUAGGAUUAAUUUUCUCUUACGAAAUGGCGCUUGUGAGAGCAGAAGUACAGAAUAACUACCAUGAAAAAAAAUGCAUUAAAACAUAAGAACAACCAUGAAAAAAUGUUUUAGAAAUAAUAUUAUAUGCUCCCCUUGUGGCAAUACUGAAAAGGUAGAAUGUCUGUAUAGACAGUGAAAAUAAAGGUUUAACUACCGGUCAAAGGCUACCAUAAUGAUA
Long non-coding RNA from Ostrea edulis (European flat oyster), 563 nucleotides. RefSeq lists it as uncharacterized. NCBI's taxonomy places the organism in Eukaryota, Metazoa, Mollusca, Bivalvia, Ostreida, Ostreidae. The record is from RefSeq and is a predicted model, not a curated record. The transcript is spliced from 2 exons.